CCUAAGUCCUUACGUGUCGCUUUCCAUCUAAAUCCGAGUUAUCCCCAUCCAUAAUCCAUUCCAUUCUCCAAUUCUUUGCUUCUCUUCCGCCAUGUGCUUCUUCUCCUUCGAUCUCUCUCUGUGAUUUUGCUGAUUGUCCUAUACCACUAGUACCAAGCGCUAUCAAAAAACAUGGUAGUUUUUUCGUUGUAAUUGUUCAUCUUUUGGACGGCUUACAGUAGUUUAGGGCGGUAUGUCAAUUAGGGAAUAAUCUAGACUCUUGAUUUAACUUCCGUUGGUCUGACAUUUUCGGCAAAUGCUUUGUUGAUGGAUUUGAGCGAGGUUGAAAGCAGCAACAACAACAACAACGACCCAGUAUAAUUCCACUAGUGAGGUAUGGGAGGUAGUAUGUACGCAGACCUUACCCCAACCCCGAGGCAGUAGAGAGGCUCUUUGCGAAAGACACUCGACUCAAGAAAACGAAAAGAGACAAUAUAUCAGUCCCAUCAACAGAUACCAUGGGAAUAAUAACAUCAUCAUAAAGAUGUGGUCUAGGUUGAAAGCAUGAUAAAAUAUUGUUCAAGGUCAUCCUCUUAUGUCUUUCUUUCACAAGAUACAGUGUGAACCCUGUAUGAUAGCAAUUGAUUUCAUCUCCAUUGGUGGGUCGAUACUAUGCAUUGAUAUGUGCUGAAACAAGGGUAGUAGCAAAUUUAAGCUUAUGACAUGUUGAUUCCGGUAGCAGCAGAAACAUGAGGAGUAGAAAAUUAAAUGCUGCUGAAAUUUUGUAUUCUAUUUAUACCUCUUAACUACUUUUGACCUAAUUUAAACAAAUAGCAUGAUAAUGCUUGAAAGUUGUUGAAUAAUUUCUUUUCUGUUGAA
This is a non-coding RNA of Nicotiana tabacum (common tobacco), 858 nucleotides long. NCBI's taxonomy places the organism in Eukaryota, Viridiplantae, Streptophyta, Magnoliopsida, Solanales, Solanaceae. The record is from RefSeq and is a predicted model, not a curated record.